This 221-nucleotide long non-coding RNA is filed under the name Elaeis guineensis (African oil palm). RNAcentral describes it as "long non-coding RNA (EGUI_LNC029192)". Lineage: Eukaryota; Viridiplantae; Streptophyta; Magnoliopsida; Arecales; Arecaceae. The record is from RNAcentral.
UAUUGAACAAGAGAAACCCAAUGUUCCAAUGAUAGCUACGGUCAAAGAAGACAGGUGAAGGUUACAGUGCGCGUGAAUGGGGUAUACGCGGCUGCCGUACUGCCAUCACCGUUAUCUAUUCGUAUACCUUAUUCGCUUGUUCCACCGAGAAGGAAGAAUAAAUAAAUAAAUAAAUAAAAGAAGAAUCCUGACUAUCUAAUUUCGGGCUUAUCCUAAACAGA